GUGCGAGACCGAUAGCGAACAAGUACCGUGAGGAAAAGAUGAAAAGAACUUUGAAAAGAGAGUUAAAGAGUACCUGAAACUGCUGAAAGGGAACCGAAUCGUAUCCAGUGUCUAUAAUCCAUGGCAUAUUUCAUUGGCAAGUGAGUGCGUGCAGCGUUUUGGAAGUGGUUUUCCGCUCCUGUCGUUGUUGUGCAUUUGCUUGCUGGUGCCCUGUGCUGUAGUGGGACGUCAGAGUCAGUUCGUAUACUGCGGGAAAUGGUUGCUGGGGAGGUAGGUCGCUUCGGUGGCUAUUAUAUCCUGGUGACUAGUCGUCGUGGUUGGGACUGAGGUGCCUACAAUGUGCUUUCGAGUCUAUGGGACUCUCGUUUGGCUGUUUGCCUUGAUAGCUUGCUAUGCUGGUGAAUAUGUUGUGCGAUUGAGACCUGUAUUAACUUGUUGCUGUUCGGGACUUUG
This 453-nucleotide ribosomal RNA is filed under the name uncultured Oomycota. RNAcentral describes it as "LSU rRNA". It matches the Rfam family "Eukaryotic large subunit ribosomal RNA", at positions 326 to 628 of the family's 3401-position model. The record is from RNAcentral. Lineage: Eukaryota; Oomycota.